This is a ribosomal RNA of 2913 nucleotides. It matches the Rfam family "Bacterial large subunit ribosomal RNA".
UUAAGGGCGCACGGUGGAUGCCUUGGCACUAGAAGCCGAUGAAGGACGUUACUAACGACGAUAUGCUUUGGGGAGCUGUAAGUAAGCUUUGAUCCAGAGAUUUCCGAAUGGGGAAACCCAGCAUGAGUUAUGUCAUGUUAUCGAUAUGUGAAUACAUAGCAUAUCAGAAGGCACACCCGGAGAACUGAAACAUCUUAGUACCCGGAGGAAGAGAAAGAAAAUUCGAUUCCCUUAGUAGCGGCGAGCGAAACGGGAAGAGCCCAAACCAACAAGCUUGCUUGUUGGGGUUGUAGGACACUCUAUACGGAGUUACAAAGGACGACAUUAGACGAAUCAUCUGGAAAGAUGAAUCAAAGAAGGUAAUAAUCCUGUAGUCGAAAAUGUUGUCUCUCUUGAGUGGAUCCUGAGUACGACGGAGCACGUGAAAUUCCGUCGGAAUCUGGGAGGACCAUCUCCUAAGGCUAAAUACUCUCUAGUGACCGAUAGUGAACCAGUACCGUGAGGGAAAGGUGAAAAGCACCCCGGAAGGGGAGUGAAAUAGAACCUGAAACCGUGUGCUUACAAGUAGUCAGAGCCCGUUAAUGGGUGAUGGCGUGCCUUUUGUAGAAUGAACCGGCGAGUUACGAUUUGAUGCAAGGUUAAGCAGUAAAUGUGGAGCCGUAGCGAAAGCGAGUCUGAAUAGGGCGUUUAGUAUUUGGUCGUAGACCCGAAACCAGGUGAUCUACCCUUGGUCAGGUUGAAGUUCAGGUAACACUGAAUGGAGGACCGAACCGACUUACGUUGAAAAGUGAGCGGAUGAACUGAGGGUAGCGGAGAAAUUCCAAUCGAACCUGGAGAUAGCUGGUUCUCUCCGAAAUAGCUUUAGGGCUAGCCUCAAGUGAUGAUUAUUGGAGGUAGAGCACUGUUUGGACGAGGGGCCCCUCUCGGGUUACCGAAUUCAGACAAACUCCGAAUGCCAAUUAAUUUAACUUGGGAGUCAGAACAUGGGUGAUAAGGUCCGUGUUCGAAAGGGAAACAGCCCAGACCACCAGCUAAGGUCCCAAAAUAUAUGUUAAGUGGAAAAGGAUGUGGCGUUGCCCAGACAACUAGGAUGUUGGCUUAGAAGCAGCCAUCAUUUAAAGAGUGCGUAAUAGCUCACUAGUCGAGUGACACUGCGCCGAAAAUGUACCGGGGCUAAACAUAUUACCGAAGCUGUGGAUUGUCCUUUGGACAAUGGUAGGAGAGCGUUCUAAGGGCGUUGAAGCAUGAUCGUAAGGACAUGUGGAGCGCUUAGAAGUGAGAAUGCCGGUGUGAGUAGCGAAAGACGGGUGAGAAUCCCGUCCACCGAUUGACUAAGGUUUCCAGAGGAAGGCUCGUCCGCUCUGGGUUAGUCGGGUCCUAAGCUGAGGCCGACAGGCGUAGGCGAUGGAUAACAGGUUGAUAUUCCUGUACCACCUAUAAUCGUUUUAAUCGAUGGGGGGACGCAGUAGGAUAGGCGAAGCGUGCGAUUGGAUUGCACGUCUAAGCAGUAAGGCUGAGUAUUAGGCAAAUCCGGUACUCGUUAAGGCUGAGCUGUGAUGGGGAGAAGACAUUGUGUCUUCGAGUCGUUGAUUUCACACUGCCGAGAAAAGCCUCUAGAUAGAAAAUAGGUGCCCGUACCGCAAACCGACACAGGUAGUCAAGAUGAGAAUUCUAAGGUGAGCGAGCGAACUCUCGUUAAGGAACUCGGCAAAAUGACCCCGUAACUUCGGGAGAAGGGGUGCUCUUUAGGGUUAACGCCCAGAAGAGCCGCAGUGAAUAGGCCCAAGCGACUGUUUAUCAAAAACACAGGUCUCUGCUAAACCGUAAGGUGAUGUAUAGGGGCUGACGCCUGCCCGGUGCUGGAAGGUUAAGAGGAGUGGUUAGCUUCUGCGAAGCUACGAAUCGAAGCCCCAGUAAACGGCGGCCGUAACUAUAACGGUCCUAAGGUAGCGAAAUUCCUUGUCGGGUAAGUUCCGACCCGCACGAAAGGCGUAACGAUUUGGGCACUGUCUCAACGAGAGACUCGGUGAAAUCAUAGUACCUGUGAAGAUGCAGGUUACCCGCGACAGGACGGAAAGACCCCGUGGAGCUUUACUGUAGCCUGAUAUUGAAAUUCGGCACAGCUUGUACAGGAUAGGUAGGAGCCUUUGAAACGUGAGCGCUAGCUUACGUGGAGGCGCUGGUGGGAUACUACCCUAGCUGUGUUGGCUUUCUAACCCGCACCACUUAUCGUGGUGGGAGACAGUGUCAGGCGGGCAGUUUGACUGGGGCGGUCGCCUCCUAAAAGGUAACGGAGGCGCUCAAAGGUUCCCUCAGAAUGGUUGGAAAUCAUUCAUAGAGUGUAAAGGCAUAAGGGAGCUUGACUGCGAGACCUACAAGUCGAGCAGGGUCGAAAGACGGACUUAGUGAUCCGGUGGUUCCGCAUGGAAGGGCCAUCGCUCAACGGAUAAAAGCUACCCCGGGGAUAACAGGCUUAUCUCCCCCCAAGAGUUCACAUCGACGGGGAGGUUUUGGCACCUCGAUGUCGGCUCAUCGCAUCCUGGGGCUGUAGUCGGUCCCAAGGGUUGGGCUGUUCGCCCAUUAAAGCGGUACGCGAGCUGGGUUCAGAACGUCGUGAGACAGUUCGGUCCCUAUCCGUCGUGGGCGUAGGAAAUUUGAGAGGAGCUGUCCUUAGUACGAGAGGACCGGGAUGGACAUACCUCUGGUGUACCAGUUGUCGUGCCAACGGCAUAGCUGGGUAGCUAUGUGUGGACGGGAUAAGUGCUGAAAGCAUCUAAGCAUGAAGCCCCCCUCAAGAUGAGAUUUCCCAACUUCGGUUAUAAGAUCCCUCAAAGAUGAUGAGGUUAAUAGGUUCGAGGUGGAAGCAUGGUGACAUGUGGAGCUGACGAAUACUAAUCGAUCGAAGACUUAAUC